RNAcentral lists this transfer RNA (65 nucleotides) under Labidura japonica. RNAcentral describes it as "tRNA-Cys". Lineage: Eukaryota; Metazoa; Arthropoda; Insecta; Dermaptera; Labiduridae. The record is from RNAcentral.
AGUCUUAUAUUCAAAUAUGAUUUUAGAUUGCAAAUCUAAAGGUGAAUAAAUUUAUUCUAAGACCU